Molecule: ribosomal RNA, 460 nt
Filed under: uncultured bacterium
Lineage: Bacteria
Description: bacterial SSU rRNA
Rfam family: Bacterial small subunit ribosomal RNA
Source: RNAcentral
CCUACGGGGGGCAGCAGUGAGGAAUAUUGGACAAUGGGCGCAAGCCUGAUCCAGCCAUGCCGCGUGCAGGAUGAAGCAUCUAUGGUGUGUAAACUGCUUUUGUACGAGAAGAAACACUGCUUCGUGAAGCAGCUUGACGGUAUCGUAAGAAUAAGGAUCGGCUAACUCCGUGCCAGCAGCCGCGGUAAUACGGAGGAUCCAAGCGUUAUCCGGAAUCAUUGGGUUUAAAGGGUCCGUAGGCGGGCCAGUAAGUCAGUGGUGAAAUCUCUCGGCUCAACCGGGAAAUGGCCAUUGAUACUGCUGGUCUUGAAUUAUUAGGAAGUAACUAGAAUAUGUAGUGUAGCGGUGAAAUGCUUAGAGAUUACAUGGAAUACCAAUUGCGAAGGCAGGUUACUACUAAUGGAUUGACGCUGAUGGACGAAAGCGUGGGUAGCGAACAGGAUUAGAUACCCCAGUAGUC